This 1402-nucleotide ribosomal RNA is filed under the name uncultured Lysobacteraceae bacterium. RNAcentral's name for it is "bacterial SSU rRNA". It matches the Rfam family "Bacterial small subunit ribosomal RNA". The record is from RNAcentral. Lineage: Bacteria; Pseudomonadati; Pseudomonadota; Gammaproteobacteria; Lysobacterales; Lysobacteraceae.
GAGUUUGAUCCUGGCUCAGAGUGAACGCUGGCGGCAGGCCUAACACAUGCAAGUCGAACGGCAGCACAGCAGUAGCAAUACUGUGGGUGGCGAGUGGCGGACGGGUGAGGAAUACAUGGGAAUCUGCCCUGUCGUGGGGGAUAACGUAGGGAAACUUACGCUAAUACCGCAUACGACCGGAAGGUGAAAGCGGCGGACCGCAAGGCGUCGCGCGACUGGAUGAGCCCAUGUCGGAUUAGCUAGUUGGCGGGGUAAAGGCCCACCAAGGCGACGAUCCGUAGCUGGUCUGAGAGGAUGAUCAGCCACACUGGAACUGAGACACGGUCCAGACUCCUACGGGAGGCAGCAGUGGGGAAUAUUGGACAAUGGGCGCAAGCCUGAUCCAGCCAUGCCGCGUGAGUGAAGAAGGCCUUCGGGUUGUAAAGCUCUUUUGUCCGGAAAGAAAAGCCUUCGGCUAAUACCCGGGGGUGAUGACGGUACCGGAAGAAUAAGCACCGGCUAACUUCGUGCCAGCAGCCGCGGUAAUACGAAGGGUGCAAGCGUUACUCAGAAUUACUGGGCGUAAAGCGUGCGUAGGUGGUUCGUUAAGUCUGAUGUGAAAGCCCUGGGCUCAACCUGGGAAUGGCAUUGGAAACUGGCGACCUAGAGUGCGGUAGAGGGCAGUGGAAUUCCCGGUGUAGCAGUGAAAUGCGUAGAGAUCGGGAGGAACAUCUGUGGCGAAGGCGAGUCUCUGGACGACUCCUGACACUGAGGCACGAAAGCUAGGGGAGCAAACAGGAUUAGAUACCCUGGUAGUCCUAGCUGUAAACGGUGCACGUUUGCUGUAAGAGGAAUCGACCCCUUUUGUGGCGAAGCUAACGCGCUAAACGUGCCGCCUGGGGAGUACGGUCGCAAGAUUAAAACUCAAAGAAAUUGACGGGGGCCUGCACAAGCGGUGGAGUAUGUGGCUUAAUUCGAUGCAACGCGAAGAACCUUACCUGGCCUUGACAUGCACGUAGUAGAAGCCUGAAAGGGUAACGACCCCGCAAGGGGAGCGUGCACAGGUGCUGCAUGGCUGUCGUCAGCUCGUGUCGUGAGAUGUUGGGUUAAGUCCCGCAACGAGCGCAACCCUUGUGUCCUGUUGCCACUCUAACGAGAGUUAGAAGCACUCUGGACAGACUGCCUCGCUUAAACGAGGAGGAAGGUGGGGAUGACGUCAAGUCAGGAUGGCCCUUACGGCCAGGGCUGCACACGUACUACAAUGCCUGGUACAAAGGGAAGCAAGACCGACAGGUGGAGCAAAUCCCAAAAAACCAGGCUCAGUUCAGAUUGUCGGCUGCAACUCGCCGACAUGAAGCUGGAAUCGCUAGUAAUGGCGCAUCAGCUACGGCGCCGUGAAUACGUUCCCAGGCCUUGCACACAC